CUAUCUUUUCCUCUUAACACAGCUAUCCUCAAUCUCCAUUCUUCCAAAUCUCACUACCGCCGGUACUUUUCUUUGUCGUCUCAUCUCUUGUGUUUUGGAAUAUUCGAGAAGCAUGAUUGCGAUGAACAUCACCAACACGGCGUUCCUCAACAAUUAUGCUUCGUUUCUCACCCCCUUGUAUUUCAAAAUUUCCAACGAGCUUUUGGCCACUCUCAAAGAUGGAAAAUGUCAAAACCAAGCACCCUCAAUUGUUGACGAACAAAGGUUUCACAACUCAAAGGCAAAUAGGCAUUGAUACUACUAUGAAGAAUUUGAAGUUUUCUCAUUGGCAAAGGAUAAAUACAAGACUAUGGGAUUUGGACUAUUUGGAAGGAUAGAAAUGGUAUAGUUUUUGCUAAUGGAGUGAAGGACCUUUAGCAAACGAGUGCUUUUUAAUGUUGCUGCUGUGUUUCUUUUGCUGGUGCAGCUGGUGCUUGCAAUGUGGAUGUUGGCUACAUUUCAGGGUGUUUGGAAGUUGUUCAUUAGCUUUGCUUUUGUUGAGAACUGCAUGUAUCUGUUGGCCUUCUUGUGCGCUUCAGGGCUUGCAAGGUUAUUUUUUGGUUCUGUGCUUAGUGGUAUGUUGACUGCGUGUCUCGUCAGUUGUGUGGGAUGCUUUUUGUUUUGGUUGAAGCCAUUUUAGAGUUUCUUUCUUAGUAUUUUGGUUUGUGCUAAUUUUUGUAACAGGGAGGGGUUUUAGUGGCUUUGUAGUUUAAUGGUUUUGAGCUUCUUACAAAUUGCAAAUGGCUUUCUAGUUUAGUGGUUUUGGCUUUGUAAAGUUGUUUAGAGCCAUAAUGUAGUAUCAAGUGAUUUGAACUAAGUUGAAGUAAUUUUUAUGUACUAGAAUGCAAUUGAUGGCUUUGAGAGCACUCAAAAAUAACAUUUUCUUUUCAUU
Molecule: long non-coding RNA, 931 nt
Organism: Trifolium pratense (red clover)
Lineage: Eukaryota; Viridiplantae; Streptophyta; Magnoliopsida; Fabales; Fabaceae
Exons: 2
Source: RefSeq, a predicted model, not a curated record